This 320-nucleotide ribosomal RNA is filed under the name uncultured bacterium. RNAcentral's name for it is "bacterial SSU rRNA". It matches the Rfam family "Bacterial small subunit ribosomal RNA", at positions 28 to 350 of the family's 1533-position model. The record is from RNAcentral.
GAUGAACGCUAGCGGCAGGCCUAAUACAUGCAAGCCGGACGGCAAGUUGAGUAGCAAUACUUGACCUAGAGUGGCGUAAGGGUGCGUAACACGUAUGCAAUCUGCCCACAGCCGGGAGAUAGCCCUCCGAAAGGAGGAUUAAUAUCCCAUAGGAAGAUGAGAUGGCAUCAUUUUAUUUUAAACUACGGGGCUGUGGAUGAGCAUGCGGUUGAUUAGCUAGUUGCGGGGUAAAGCCCACCAAGGCGAUGAUCAAUAGGGGACCUGAGAGGGUGAUCCCCCACACUGGCACUGAGAUACGGGCCAGACUCCUACGGGAGGCA